This 31-nucleotide non-coding RNA is filed under the name Mus musculus (house mouse). The record is from RNAcentral. Lineage: Eukaryota; Metazoa; Chordata; Mammalia; Rodentia; Muridae.
UGAACUUGCUAAAGCAGCUAGGAUUGGUCCC